UACGGGGGGUGCAAGCGUUAUUCGGAAUUAUUGGGCGUAAAGCGCGCGUAGGCGGCUGAAUAAGUCAGCUGUGAAAGCUCUUGGCUUAACCAAGGAAGUGCAGUUGAUACUAUUUGACUUGAGUAUGGGCGAGGGAAGUGGAAUUCCUGGUGUAGAGGUGAAAUUCGUAGAUAUCAGGAGGAACACCGGUGGCGAAAGCGACUUCCUGGACCAUUACUGACGCUGAGGCGCGAAAGCGUGGGGAGCAAAUAGG
Molecule: ribosomal RNA, 253 nt
Filed under: uncultured bacterium
Lineage: Bacteria
Description: partial 16S ribosomal RNA
Rfam family: Bacterial small subunit ribosomal RNA
Source: RNAcentral